This is a long non-coding RNA of Canis lupus familiaris (dog), 526 nucleotides long. RefSeq lists it as uncharacterized. The transcript has 2 exons. The record is from RefSeq and is a predicted model, not a curated record. NCBI's taxonomy places the organism in Eukaryota, Metazoa, Chordata, Mammalia, Carnivora, Canidae.
GCAGUCUCCCCCCACACACCCCCCUCUGAUCCCCUAGCGAAGAAAAAGCAGCCCCCUGGGUGCUCAGCCCACACUGACCCUGCUGCAGGAUGCGCCCGAAGGCCUUGCUGUGGCUGGAACAGUUCCAGCGGCGGAAACGGAACUGGAACUGGCACUCUCGCACCCCAAGCCGGGCGCCCCGGGCUAGCUCCGCCACCACUUCUGGCUCAGCCUGGCACAGCUCAGCCUGCCGCCCUGCCAGCCGCCGUGCUUUCCUGCAGAUGCUGAUUGAAGACAUACUAAAGACAAAGAUGUCAUGAGGAAGCAUAACAUCAUCAAGAGGGCACCUUCAGACUUUGGGGAGGCUGAGCCUGGGGUUUGGAUCUGGGCUCUGCCAUUUGCCUGGUUGGCACUUAAUAUUUGUUGAAUGAAUGAGACCUCACCUUCUGAGCCUCAGUUUCCACAACUGUGAAAUGGAAAUAAAUGAUACCUGACUGCUUCUCUGGUGCACAGGAAAAGAGCCUGUCCAGAGAAUGAGACCCAGCAA